UUUAGCUCCAGUUGCUGAAGACAGCAGGUGGCUUGGAUAUUAAAUAGCAUACAAAACUUCCAAAUGAAGUCCAUAGGAAAUAGGGUACAGUGAGGGGGCUUUAUGUCCUGUCGCCCUGCCAGCCUAUUCAAACAGGAGGCAAAUCAAGGUGAAGAAUGCAGGCGGCCAUUGACCUCUGUUGACUUGUCAGUGCAGUGUAAACCUGCCACGCAGCCCCAGGAAGGCCACAGCAUUCAAGUGUGUUAUUGCGGGAGUUUGCUGCUAAGAUGCUAUUUAAAGGAGUCCCGGAUGGAGGGGAUGGAGGGGUUGGGAGCUGAGUGGGGCUCACACGUCACCUCUCACUGUUAGGGGUUUUACUAUGUUUCCCUAAGUGUCAAUCCUUACUGCUUGAGAUUGGCGAGAAAUUCAUCAGUAUUGUCUUUAGUAUGUCUUGUGCAGUGUCCAGACAUUUCUGAGCACUCACAGAAUGCUUGCUAAUAUUUUCAUGGAAUUGAUGAAUUUUUCAAAUAGGUUGUUUUUUGUCACCAUGCUCUGCUUUGUGUCUUCAACUAGUAGCACAUUCUCCGCUCAUUGGCCAUUUCUGCAUCCCAUCUUGAGGGCUUAUGGUUGGCGGUUUUGGAUCUCCUGGCUCCUCGUGGUCCCCGUCUCCUGUAAUCCUGAAUACAUGGCUUCACAGAACGUGAAUAGCCUUCCCACGGCACUGAGCGAUCAAUUUGGUUGUUUCUCUCUCUUGUUAAUUUUAAUUUUUUUAUAUGUGGUUCUUUCUCUUUUGUGAGACAUUGUUGAUCUUUUAGACCACACCUGCUAAGUCUAUGGUGGCAGGUCACCU
Molecule: long non-coding RNA, 829 nt
Filed under: Marmota monax (woodchuck)
Lineage: Eukaryota; Metazoa; Chordata; Mammalia; Rodentia; Sciuridae
Source: RNAcentral